Molecule: long non-coding RNA, 434 nt
Organism: Heteronotia binoei (common prickly gecko)
Lineage: Eukaryota; Metazoa; Chordata; Lepidosauria; Squamata; Gekkonidae
Exons: 2
Source: RefSeq, a predicted model, not a curated record
UUUUUUUUCCAAUGCAGAGGCCCUGCAGUGAGAGGCAAGGAGAAAUAAGGCGACACGGGGAGGGGGGGAAUGGACAGAGAGGGAGGCAAGCAGCAAAACCGUCCUACUCACCUCUCUGAGCUGCUCCAGCUCCAGUUUCAGGACAUCAUAUUCCGCUUCCAGCUCGUCAUACUGCUGCUUCAGGGCAUGUUUCAGCAGAGGAUAUGGUACUGACUGUACUGUUAAAAAUAGAAGCUGAGAUUCAUCCCAAUGGUUUUCUUAGUGGCAUGGACAAGAACACAGUCUACCUAGUUUACCUGGUAUUUCUACAGUCUAGUUACUAUAGAAUAGCAAAGUGCUCCAGACACAGAGGUAAUAUACUAAUUGCUCUGAUUUUUAUAAAACCAGAAUGGAAAAUUAAGAAGCAAUACUCCAUUGAAAUAAAGUGGCGUUUU